This 211-nucleotide long non-coding RNA is filed under the name Carica papaya (papaya). RNAcentral's name for it is "long non-coding RNA (CPAP_LNC002117)". Lineage: Eukaryota; Viridiplantae; Streptophyta; Magnoliopsida; Brassicales; Caricaceae. The record is from RNAcentral.
CAGGCUUUAGCUGCUAAGGGGUCAGGGCCUUCUUCAAAGUAGGGUGGGUUAAGUUUCCUAAACUCUGGUAUGUUGUAGGAGAUAGAUCUCUCGGCUAGGUGAUAGUCAGGGGCAGGGGGUGUUGGCAUUAGUUUGUUUGGUUUUGGCCAACGACUACAGUUAGACCCUGGAUGGCUCUAAAGAGUUUAAUAAACGCAGCCCUGGUCAGAUG